RNAcentral lists this ribosomal RNA (301 nucleotides) under uncultured bacterium. Its description in RNAcentral is "partial 16S ribosomal RNA". It matches the Rfam family "Bacterial small subunit ribosomal RNA", at positions 509 to 807 of the family's 1533-position model. The record is from RNAcentral.
CAGUAGCCGCGGGAAUACGUAGGGUGCGAGCGUUAAUCGGAAUUACUGGGCGUAAAGCGUGCGCAGGCGGUUCGUUAAGACAGAUGUGAAAUCCCCGGGCUUAACCUGGGGACUGCAUUUGUGACUGGCGAGCUAGAGUAUGGCAGAGGGGGGUAGAAUUCCACGUGUAGCAGUGAAAUGCGUAGAGAUGUGGAGGAAUACCGAUGGCGAAGGCAGCCCCCUGGGCCAAUACUGACGCUCAUGCACGAAAGCGUGGGGAGCAAACAGGAUUAGAUACCCGCGUAGUCCCUGUCUCUUAUAC